AUUGAACGCUGGCGGCAUGCUUUACACAUGCAAGUCGAACGGUAACAGGUUAAGCUGACGAGUGGCGAACGGGUGAGUAAUGCAUCGGAACGUGCCCGGUCGUGGGGGAUAACGCAGAGAAAGCUGCGCUAAUACCGCAUACGAUCUAUGGAUGAAAGCGGGGGAUCGCAAGACCUCGCGCGAUUGGAGCGGCGGAUAUCAGAUUAGGUAGUUGGUGGGGUAAAGGCUCACCAAGCCGACGAUCUGUAGCUGGUCUGAGAGGACGACCAGCCACACUGGGACUGAGACACGGCCCAGACUCCUACGGGAGGCAGCAGUGGGGAAUUUUGGACAAUGGGCGAAAGCCUGAUCCAGCCAUGCCGCGUGCAGGAUGAAGGCUUUCGGGUUGUAAACUGCUUUUGUACGGAACGAAAAGGUUUGGCCUAAUAAGCUGAGCUCGUGACGGUACCGUAAGAAUAAGCACCGGCUAACUACGUGCCAGCCGCCGCGGUAA
RNAcentral lists this ribosomal RNA (493 nucleotides) under uncultured bacterium. RNAcentral describes it as "partial 16S ribosomal RNA". It matches the Rfam family "Bacterial small subunit ribosomal RNA", at positions 30 to 523 of the family's 1533-position model. The record is from RNAcentral.